RNAcentral lists this ribosomal RNA (305 nucleotides) under uncultured bacterium. RNAcentral describes it as "bacterial SSU rRNA". It matches the Rfam family "Bacterial small subunit ribosomal RNA", at positions 338 to 659 of the family's 1533-position model. The record is from RNAcentral.
CCUACGGGGCGCAGCAGUGGGGAAUAUUGCACAAUGGGGGAAACCCUGAUGCAGCGACGCCGCGUGAGUGAAGAAGUAUUUCGGUAUGUAAAGCUCUAUCAGCAGGAACGAGACAAGACGGUACCUGACUAAGAAGCCCCGGCUAACUACGUGCCAGCAGCCGCGGUAAUACGUAGGGGGCAAGCGUUAUCCGGAUUUACUGGGUGUAAAGGGAGCGUAGACGGCGAUGCAAGUCUGAAGUGAAAGGCGGGGGCCCAACCCCCGGACUGCUUUGGAAACUGUAUGGCUGGAGUGCAGGAGAGGUA